UAGCGAAAUUCCUUGUCGGGCAAGUUCCGACCUGCACGAAUGGCAUAACGAUGGCCACACUGUCUCCUCCUGAGACUCAGUGAAGUUGAAGUGUUUGUGAUGAUGCAAUCUCCCCGCGGCUAGACGGAAAGACCCCAUGAACCUUUACUGUAGCUUUGCAUUGGACUUUGAACCGAUCUGUGUAGGAUAGGCGGGAGCCUGUGAAACCACAACGCCAGUUGUGGCGGAGGCGUCCUUGAAAUACCGCCCUGAUUUGUUUGAGGUUCUAACCUGGGACAGUUAUCCUGUCCGGGGACCGUGCAUGGUAGGCAGUUUGACUGGGGCGGUCUCCUCCUAAAGGGUAACGGAGGAGUGCGAAGGUACGCUAGGUACGGUCGGAAAUCGUGCUGAUAGUGCAAUGGCAAAAGCGUGCUUGACUGCGAGACCCACAAGUCGAGCAGAUACGAAAGUAGGUCAUAGUGAUCCGGUGGCUCUGUAUGGAAGGGCCAUCGCUCAACGGAUAAAAGGUACUCUGGGGAUAACAGGCUGAUACCGCCCAAGAGUUCAUAUCGACGGCGGUGUUUGGCACCUCGAUGUCGGCUCAUCUCAUCCUGGGGCUGUAGCCGGUCCCAAGGGUAUGGCUGUUCGCCAUUUAAAGAGGUACGUGAGCUGGGUUUAAAACGUCGUGAGACAGUUUUGUCCCUAUCUGCCGUGGGCGCUGGAAGAUUGACGGGGGCUGCUCCUAGUACGAGAGGACCGGAGUGGACUCACCUCUGGUGUACCGGUUGUCACGCCAGUGGCAUCGCCGGGUAGCUAUGUGGGGAAGAGAUAACCGCUGAAAGCAUCUAAGCGGGAAACUUGCCUGAAGAUAAGUCUUCCUGGAGGCUAGACCUCCCUAAAGAGUCGUUCGAGACCAGGACGUUGAUAGGAUGGGUGUGUAAGUGCUGUGAGGCACUCAGCUAACCAUUACUAAUUGCUCGUGAAGCUUGAUCCU
Molecule: ribosomal RNA, 973 nt
Filed under: human gut metagenome
Description: bacterial LSU rRNA
Rfam family: Bacterial large subunit ribosomal RNA
Source: RNAcentral